This 253-nucleotide ribosomal RNA is filed under the name uncultured bacterium. Its description in RNAcentral is "partial 16S ribosomal RNA". It matches the Rfam family "Bacterial small subunit ribosomal RNA", at positions 524 to 776 of the family's 1533-position model. The record is from RNAcentral.
UACGGGGGGGGUAAGCGUUGUUCGGAAUUACUGGGCGUAAAGGGCUCGUAGGCGGCCAACUAAGUCAUACGUGAAAUCCCUCAGCUUAACUGGGGAACUGCGUGUGAUACUGGAUGGCUUGGAUUUGGGAGAGGGAUGCGGAAUUCCAGGUGUAGCGGUGAAAUGCGCAGAUAUCGGGAGGAACACCAACGGCGAAGGCAGCACUCUGGGCUGGAACUGACGCUGAGGAGCGAAAGCGUGGGUAGCAAACAGG